This 468-nucleotide ribosomal RNA is filed under the name uncultured bacterium. Its description in RNAcentral is "partial 16S ribosomal RNA". It matches the Rfam family "Bacterial small subunit ribosomal RNA", at positions 28 to 507 of the family's 1533-position model. The record is from RNAcentral.
GACGAACGCUGGCGGCGUGCUUAACACAUGCAAGUCGAACGGAAAGGCCCUGCUUUUGUGGGGUGCUCGAGUGGCGAACGGGUGAGUAACACGUGAGUAACCUGCCCUUGACUUUGGGAUAACUUCAGGAAACUGGGGCUAAUACCGGAUAGGAGCUCCUGCUGCAUGGUGGGGGUUGGAAAGUUUCGGCGGUUGGGGAUGGACUCGCGGCUUAUCAGCUUGUUGGUGGGGUAGUGGCUUACCAAGGCUUUGACGGGUAGCCGGCCUGAGAGGGUGACCGGCCACAUUGGGACUGAGAUACGGCCCAGACUCCUACGGGAGGCAGCAGUGGGGAAUAUUGCACAAUGGGCGGAAGCCUGAUGCAGCAACGCCGCGUUCGGGAUGACGGCCUUCGGGUUGUAAACCGCUUUCGCCUGUGACGAAGCGUGAGUGACGGUAAUGGGUAAAGAAGCCCCGGCUAACUACGUG